This 527-nucleotide ribosomal RNA is filed under the name uncultured bacterium. RNAcentral's name for it is "bacterial SSU rRNA". It matches the Rfam family "Bacterial small subunit ribosomal RNA", at positions 981 to 1509 of the family's 1533-position model. The record is from RNAcentral.
UUGACAUCCAGCGAACUUUCCAGAGAUGGAUUGGUGCCUUCGGGAACGCUGAGACAGGUGCUGCAUGGCUGUCGUCAGCUCGUGUUGUGAAAUGUUGGUUAAGUCCCGCAACGAGCGCAACCCUUAUCCUUUGUUGCCAGCGAUUCGGUCGGGAACUCAAAGGAGACUGCCGGUGAUAAACCGGAGGAAGGUGGGGAUGACGUCAAGUCAUCAUGGCCCUUACGAGUAGGGCUACACACGUGCUACAAUGGCGCAUACAAAGAGAAGCGACCUCGCGAGAGCAAGCGGACCUCAUAAAGUGCGUCGUAGUCCGGAUCGGAGUCUGCAACUCGACUCCGUGAAGUCGGAAUCGCUAGUAAUCGUGGAUCAGAAUGCCACGGUGAAUACGUUCCCGGGCCUUGUACACACCGCCCGUCACACCAUGGGAGUGGGUUGCAAAAGAAGUAGGUAGCUUAACCCUCGGGAGGGCGCUUACCACUUUGUGAUUCAUGACUGGGGUGAAGUCGUAACAAGGUAAGCGUAGCGAG